Molecule: long non-coding RNA, 690 nt
Organism: Aquila chrysaetos chrysaetos
Lineage: Eukaryota; Metazoa; Chordata; Aves; Accipitriformes; Accipitridae
Exons: 2
Source: RefSeq, a predicted model, not a curated record
UUUUCCAGAUACUGUCUUCUCAUCAUAGUUUAAUUAAGCGUUCAGAUUAUCUGAAAGGAAAAGUGAGAUAAAGAGAGGGAGAGAACCUUUUUGACUUUUUAAUAGAUUACAUGUUAGUGAUACAUUUAUGAAUGUUGAGAUUACUCUCUUCCCAGUUACUAGGAGGAACUCUGUGUGCUCAUGCUCAUGCUGCAGUGUACUCAGCCACUGAAAAUGAUACUUGCAGAGCCACAAAGCAGUCUUUCUAGGACAAACAAAAUUUUCCAAAGAACCCAAAAUGGCUUUGUACACUUCAUUACUUGAGCAAGCGGGGGCCUAGCCCAUCAGAUAGAAGUUUCUUCUACUUUGAGGCAAUGUAUGUGCCAGUAGGUGACACCAGUGCCAUAAGUUGGUCAAGGUCUAGCUUUAGAAUAGGGAAGGUGUGUGAGCACUGUGUGCUGAGGGGUGGCUGCUGCUGAGAUUUCCUUAAGGCCUGGGAAACCUUAAGUUCUGCCAGAGGACCAGAAUUCAGUAAAUUAAAUCAGCAGAAAAUGUAUUAAAUAAACAAAAAGAAGAGACUAAAAUGUAAUCCACAAAAUCCACUGGUUUUUAUCCUUAUAAAGUCAGCAAAUGCUUCUAACUCUGAGAGAUUUUUUUUUUUUCUUUUUUUUUUCCUCUGACAUCUUUGUAUUAGUGCUUUGGAAAACGGAA